RNAcentral lists this ribosomal RNA (607 nucleotides) under uncultured bacterium. Its description in RNAcentral is "bacterial SSU rRNA". It matches the Rfam family "Bacterial small subunit ribosomal RNA", at positions 1 to 621 of the family's 1533-position model. The record is from RNAcentral.
GAAUUCGAUUAGAGUUUGAUCCUGGCUCAGGAUAAACGCUGGCGGCGUGCCUUAUGCAUGCAAGUCGAACGGUCCUUUGUUUUUCGGAAUAAAGGAUAGUGGCAAACGGGUGAGUAAUACGUAAGUGACCUGUCCAUAAGUGGGGAAUAAUUCGCCGAAAGGCGGACUAAUACCGCAUGUUGUGAUGAUGUUAGUGCUUCAUCAAGAAAGCCGUAAGGCGCUUUAGGAGGGGCUUGCGUCCGAUUAGCUAGUUGGUAGGGUAAUGGCUUACCAAGGCGAGGAUCGGUAGCUGGUCUGAGAGGAUGAUCAGCCACAUUGGGACUGAGACACGGCCCAGACUCCUACGGGAGGCAGCAGCAAGGAAUAGUAGGCAAUGGGCGAAAGCCUGACCUCGCGACGCCGCGUGAAGGAUGAAGGCCUUCGGGUUGUAAACUUCUUUUCUCAGGGAAGAAUGAUGACGGUACCUGAGGAAUAAGUCACGGCUAACUACGUGCCAGCAGCCGCGGUAAGACGUAGGUGGCGAGCGUUAUCCGGAUUUACUGGGCGUAAAGCGUGCGCAGGCGGCUUUUCAAGUCAGGUGUAAAAUCUCCCGGCUCAACUGGGAGGG